RNAcentral lists this ribosomal RNA (408 nucleotides) under uncultured bacterium. Its description in RNAcentral is "partial 16S ribosomal RNA". It matches the Rfam family "Bacterial small subunit ribosomal RNA", at positions 28 to 526 of the family's 1533-position model. The record is from RNAcentral.
GACGAACGCUGGCGGCGUGCUUAACACAUGCAAGUCGAACGAAGUGGCGAACGGGUGAGUAACGCGUAAUCAACCUGCUCUUCAGAGGGGGACACCAGUUGGAAACGACUGCUAUUCCCGCUUACUGAUUGAUGGGAUUUCGUCUGAUUAGCUAGUUGGAGGGGUAACGGCCCACCAAGGCGAUGAUCAGUAGCCGGUCUGAGAGGAUGAACGGCCACAUUGGGACUGAGAAACGGCCCAGACUCCUAAGGGAGGCAGAAGUGGGGAAUUUUCCGCAAUGGACGAAAGUCUGACGGAGCAACGCCGCGGGAGUGAUGACGGCCUUCGGGUUGUAAAGCUCUGUUAAUCGGGACGCGGUACCGGAAUAGAAAGCCACGGCUAACUACGUGCCAGCAGCCGCGGUAAUUC